This 460-nucleotide ribosomal RNA is filed under the name uncultured bacterium. RNAcentral describes it as "partial 16S ribosomal RNA". It matches the Rfam family "Bacterial small subunit ribosomal RNA", at positions 338 to 795 of the family's 1533-position model. The record is from RNAcentral.
CCUACGGGUGGCUGCAGUGAGGAAUAUUGGUCAAUGGGCGCGAGCCUGAACCAGCCAAGUCGCGUGAGGGAGGACGGCCCUACGGGUUGUAAACCUCUUUUGCCGGGGAGCAACGGGCGCCACGUGUGUCGUCACUGAUAGUCCCCGGAGAAAAAGCACCGGCUAACUCCGUGCCAGCAGCCGCGGUAAUACGGAGGAUGCGAGCGUUAGCCGGUUUUAGUGGGUUUAAAGGGUGCGUAGGAGGAUCGUUAAGUCAGUGGUAAAAUUGAGGGGCUCAACCCCUGCCGGCCGUUGAAACUGGCGUUCUUGAGUGGGAGAGAAGUAGGCGGAAUGCGUGGUGUAGCGGUGAAAUGAAUAGAUAUCACGCAGAACCCCGAUUGCGAAGGCAGCAUGCCGGCUUCCGACUGACGCUGAAGCACGAAAGCGUGGGGAUCGAACAGGAUUAGAUACCCGUGUAGUC